UCGAGAAUCAUUCGCAAUGGGCGCAAGCCUGACGAUGCGACGCCGUGUGAGCGAUGAAGGCCUUCGGGUUGUAAAGCUCUUUCGCCUGGGAACAAGAGAGGCUGGCUAAUAUCCAGCCAAUUUGAGGGUACCAGGUAAAGAAGCACCGGCUAACUCCGUGCCAGCAGCUGCGGUAAUACGGAGGGUGCAAGCAUUAAUCGGAUUUAUUGGGCGUAAAGGGCGCGUAGGCGGGGAGAUAAGUCAGAUGUGAAAUCCCGGGGCUCAACCUCGGAACAGCAUUUGAAACUAUCUUUCUUGAGGGUAGGAGGAGAAAACAGAAUUCCACAAGUAGCGGUGAAAUGCGUAGAUAUGUGGAAGAAUACCGGUGGCGAAGGCGGUUUUCUAUCUUAUUCCUGACGCUGAGGCGCGAAAGCAAGGGGAUCAAACAGGAUUAGAUACCCCCGUAGUCC
Molecule: ribosomal RNA, 449 nt
Filed under: uncultured bacterium
Lineage: Bacteria
Description: bacterial SSU rRNA
Rfam family: Bacterial small subunit ribosomal RNA
Source: RNAcentral